RNAcentral lists this microRNA precursor (60 nucleotides) under Lingula anatina. Its description in RNAcentral is "Lan-Mir-92-o85_pre stem-loop". Lineage: Eukaryota; Metazoa; Brachiopoda; Lingulata; Lingulida; Lingulidae. The record is from RNAcentral.
AGGUCUUGAUGCGUGCAAUUUUGUUUUUUUUUAAAGCAAAUUGCACGCGUCCCGGCCUAC